GUGGCGGACGGGUGAGUAACACGUGAGAAUUUGCCUUUAGGAGGGGGAUAACAGAGUGAAAACGCUGCUAAUACCCCAUAUGCUUUCGAGUGAAAUGGAUUUAUUCGCCUAAAGAGAAGCUCGCGGCUGAUUAGCUUGUUGGUAAGGUAAUGGCUUACCAAGGCGACGAUCAGUAUCUGGUUUGAGAGGACGAUCAGACACACUGGAACUGAGACACGGUCCAGACUCCUACGGGAGGCAGCAGUGGGGAAUUUUCCGCAAUGGGCGAAAGCCUGACGGAGCAAUACCGCGUGAGGGAUGACUGCCUAUGGGUUGUAAACCUCUUUUCUCAGGGAGGAAAUCAAUGACGUUACCUGAGGAAUAAGCAUCGGCUAACUCCGUGCCAGCAGCCGCGGUAAGACGGAGGAUGCAAGUGUUAUCCGGAAUCACUGGGCGUAAAGCGUCUGUAGGUGGCUUAACAAGUCAACUGUUAAAUCUUGAAGCUCAACUUCGAAAUCGCAGUCGAAACUGUUAGGCUAGAGUAUAGU
This 527-nucleotide ribosomal RNA is filed under the name uncultured Arcocellulus. RNAcentral's name for it is "bacterial SSU rRNA". It matches the Rfam family "Bacterial small subunit ribosomal RNA", at positions 95 to 652 of the family's 1533-position model. The record is from RNAcentral. Lineage: Eukaryota; Bacillariophyta; Thalassiosirophyceae; Cymatosirales; Cymatosiraceae.